Daphnia carinata is the source of this 916-nucleotide long non-coding RNA. RefSeq lists it as uncharacterized. The transcript has 2 exons. The record is from RefSeq and is a predicted model, not a curated record. NCBI's taxonomy places the organism in Eukaryota, Metazoa, Arthropoda, Branchiopoda, Diplostraca, Daphniidae.
UUAGUUCCAUUAAAAAAAAAAAAUCACCUGAUUUGAUUGCAUUAUGAAGAUAUCCACUUGUAACGGAGAAGACGAUGUUGCUUGUGCAUCCGAUAUCGAACUGAAUAAUCUGCUGACUUUAGCCAUUUUGUUUAUGACGUGUACCACGAUCAACAUAGCUGCUUUCUUGUACGAGAGACAUGAUUACGAUGAAUCCGAAGAAGUUGAUCCAUCCACUUCCAUGGCUACUGGAUGCGAAGACACUGCAACCAGCGAGAGGAUCGAAACGAUGGAACGAAACAAAAUCAGCCCAAAAUGAAGAAGAGUCACAUUGCAUGACGACUGUUGACGAUGAUCCACUCAACGCUAUGCCCAACUGUUGGUACAAGGUUAUUGCUAAGGCAAUCCGAACAGGAGAUACGUUAAUUAUUGUGUUGUUUACACUCGUUUCGGUGGCUUAUAGUUUAAUUGCUAGUCUUCUUCUUCUCUUUGGUUAUCGAUACGUUACCGGUCCGUACGAAACCAAUCCGUUUAGCUGGAUGACACCUUUUAUAGAAGGAUUGAGUAGCGUGUUUCCACUUGUUUAUGGCCCUAUGGUGUUUCUUAUGGUAAAUAAGGAAGCACUGUACCCGUCUCGAAAGAAAAUUAAAAACGAUUAAUUGAGAUUUCGGAUAUUGUGAAUGAGAUUUCAACGGAGAAGUUUCAAUGAUGACCAUCUUAUAAAAACACGAUGAGAUGUGGCGGAGACAUAAGAUAAAAACAAUAGAUGAUUGCCUAGAAUUGUGUUUUACCUUUUUGAUGUUUCAAUUACACGCCCACUAAUCAUUCCCAUGUUUGCAUUCACCACCCUUGUCGUUCGUGUACGAUUAACCGCUUGUAACAUGUAAAUUGUUUGAGAAGACUAAUUACAAAGAUAAGAGUUAAUUCAACAUGCAAA